CGGCAGCACCCCUCGACCGAUUCUGAAGCUCUGACCAUGAAACAGGUAUUUGAAGGAGAGCUCCCUUCGUUUCUGUUCGAUUUUGGGCCACGUGUCAUUUGAUAUGCCUUCCGUUGUGGGAAUUCUAGCGUCAGUUUGCGUGUGUGAUUCAAGGAACGGGAGAAGAGAUGGGCGGCGACAUGAAGCAGCCUUUCUCCCCCUUUACCGGCCUGUAAAUUGGGUAUGUAUUGUUUUUUAAGGGAUUGCACGUUUAUUGUGGGGGAAUGCUUGCGGAGCUUAUGAUUUUGCGGUGAAAAUUUCUUGUUACUAUCUAUGUUCAGCAAUGUGGUGUAGUACUGAGUACUCAAUAUGUUGUUUGUCUGGGUAAUAAAACAUCUGAUAUAUAGAAACAAACGGGAUAGCUAUU
RNAcentral lists this long non-coding RNA (406 nucleotides) under Triticum aestivum (bread wheat). RNAcentral describes it as "long non-coding RNA (TAES_LNC006727)". Lineage: Eukaryota; Viridiplantae; Streptophyta; Magnoliopsida; Poales; Poaceae. The record is from RNAcentral.